This 1103-nucleotide long non-coding RNA is filed under the name Numida meleagris (helmeted guineafowl). RNAcentral describes it as "lncRNA (ENSNMEG00000000951.1)". Lineage: Eukaryota; Metazoa; Chordata; Aves; Galliformes; Numididae. The record is from RNAcentral.
CCGCGCCUGCCGGCACCGAUGGGGAUGGGAUGGAGCCGGGAUGCUCCGCCCGACGUCGCCGCUCCGGGCCCCGCUGCCGGGGUUGGGGCCGCUCCUCAGCCCUGCGCUCGCCCACCUCCAUCCUUUCUUGUUUUCUCCCAAAUGUUGGGGCUCACAACCACGCUCACCUCUCCCAGCAUCACCUGGAGCUGGUCCCCGGCGCGCACGAGGCUGAGGGCGGAACCUGCCCUGCCUGCACAGCCACCGCCACCGGGGUCAGCAGCCCCGUCCCCGUCACCCCAAAGGGACGCUCAUUUCCAUCCCAGAGCUCCAUCUCCACCAUUUGUGGGGUCUCACCCCCAUCCCUUGGCCGCCUGCACCCCCCCACUCAGCACCACGGGACGACGCACCUCUGUGCAGCACUACUACACAUCGAACCCCCACCCCAGCAACACAGAUACCCGUGGGGCCGCAGCACCGUGCAGCAGCACCCUUGGGUGCAGAGGGAUGCGGUGAUGCACAGUUCAGGUUCCUGCAGGCAUGGCCCCGUCAGAGGCGCCUGUUUUGGGGAUGAUGUCACCGUGAGGCCAGGAGAUCCCCUGCCAUCCCUCCUCCUGCCAAACAGGUUCCCCAAACCCCUGCCCUCUGCUUCACGAAUGCGUUCUUCUGACUCAGGGAUGGGAGCGGGCAGGCCCAGGGCUGACAGAGGGGUGAGGGGGGGCUGGCCAGGUCUGGGGGACAUGUCUGUGCAUGGACCAGGUGGGGACACACAGCUUGGCACACCCUUGGGCUGGGACCAGCAGGGAGAGGGGCACAGGGCACCAGCAGGGACCCUGCUCAGUGCCACCGUGUCUGUGACCACCCACACCAAAAGGAUGUGCCCCUCUCUUGGCAUCACCGACUGCACCCCAUGGGCUUCUGGCCUGGCUUGGAGCUGGGAUUUUCCCCACAUUCCCAGCAGCUGUGCAGCCCCAGGGGGAUGGGAUGGGGGCAGAGCCCCAUGGGUCUCCAGGCAGCACUGGGCAGCGUGGGGCAGGGGCCCAGGACAGCAGCACUGCAGAGCUGCGCCAGCCCCACUCAAUGCCUCAUACAAGCAGCAGCGCAGGCAUCGAUUGCUCUGCUGC